RNAcentral lists this ribosomal RNA (2273 nucleotides) under Salmonella enterica subsp. enterica serovar Johannesburg. Its description in RNAcentral is "partial 23S ribosomal RNA". It matches the Rfam family "Bacterial large subunit ribosomal RNA", at positions 689 to 2925 of the family's 2925-position model. The record is from RNAcentral. Lineage: Bacteria; Pseudomonadati; Pseudomonadota; Gammaproteobacteria; Enterobacterales; Enterobacteriaceae.
UGGGCGUUAAGUUGCAGGGUAUAGACCCGAAACCCGGUGAUCUAGCCAUGGGCAGGUUGAAGGUUGGGUAACACUAACUGGAGGACCGAACCGACUAAUGUUGAAAAAUUAGCGGAUGACCUGUGGCUGGGGGUGAAAGGCCAAUCAAACCGGGAGAUAGCUGGUUCUCCCCGAAAGCUAUUUAGGUAGCGCCUCGUGAAUUCAUCUCCGGGGGUAGAGCACUGUUUCGGCUAGGGGGCCAUCCCGGCUUACCAACCCGAUGCAAACUGCGAAUACCGGAGAAUGUUAUCACGGGAGACACACGGCGGGUGCUAACGUCCGUCGUGAAGAGGGAAACAACCCAGACCGCCAGCUAAGGUCCCAAAGUCAUGGUUAAGUGGGAAACGAUGUGGGAAGGCCCAGACAGCCAGGAUGUUGGCUUAGAAGCAGCCAUCAUUUAAAGAAAGCGUAAUAGCUCACUGGUCGAGUCGGCCUGCGCGGAAGAUGUAACGGGGCUAAACCAUGCACCGAAGCUGCGGCAGCGACGCUGAUGCGUUGUUGGGUAGGGGAGCGUUCUGUAAGCCUGCGAAGGUGUGUCGUGAGGCAUGCUGGAGGUAUCAGAAGUGCGAAUGCUGACAUAAGUAACGAUAAAGCGGGUGAAAAGCCCGCUCGCCGGAAGACCAAGGGUUCCUGUCCAACGUUAAUCGGGGCAGGGUGAGUCGACCCCUAAGGCGAGGCCGAAAGGCGUAGUCGAUGGGAAACGGGUUAAUAUUCCCGUACUUGGUGUUACUGCGAAGGGGGGACGGAGAAGGCUAUGUUGGCCGGGCGACGGUUGUCCCGGUUUAAGCGUGUAGGUGUGUGUUCCAGGUAAAUCCGGUUCACUUUAACACUGAGGCGUGAUGACGAGGCACUACGGUGCUGAAGCAACAAAUGCCCUGCUUCCAGGAAAAGCCUCUAAGCAUCAGGUAACAUCAAAUCGUACCCCAAACCGACACAGGUGGUCAGGUAGAGAAUACCAAGGCGCUUGAGAGAACUCGGGUGAAGGAACUAGGCAAAAUGGUGCCGUAACUUCGGGAGAAGGCACGCUGACACGUAGGUGAAGUGAUUUACUCAUGGAGCUGAAGUCAGUCGAAGAUACCAGCUGGCUGCAACUGUUUAUUAAAAACACAGCACUGUGCAAACACGAAAGUGGACGUAUACGGUGUGACGCCUGCCCGGUGCCGGAAGGUUAAUUGAUGGGGUCAGCGCAAGCGAAGCUCCUGAUCGAAGCCCCGGUAAACGGCGGCCGUAACUAUAACGGUCCUAAGGUAGCGAAAUUCCUUGUCGGGUAAGUUCCGACCUGCACGAAUGGCGUAAUGAUGGCCAGGCUGUCUCCACCCGAGACUCAGUGAAAUUGAACUCGCUGUGAAGAUGCAGUGUACCCGCGGCAAGACGGAAAGACCCCGUGAACCUUUACUAUAGCUUGACACUGAACAUUGAGCCUUGAUGUGUAGGAUAGGUGGGAGGCUUUGAAGUGUGGACGCCAGUCUGCAUGGAGCCGGCCUUGAAAUACCACCCUUUAAUGUUUGAUGUUCUAACGUGGACCCGUGAUCCGGGUUGCGGACAGUGUCUGGUGGGUAGUUUGACUGGGGCGGUCUCCUCCUAAAGAGUAACGGAGGAGCACGAAGGUUGGCUAAUCCUGGUCGGACAUCAGGAGGUUAGUGCAAUGGCAUAAGCCAGCUUGACUGCGAGCGUGACGGCGCGAGCAGGUGCGAAAGCAGGUCAUAGUGAUCCGGUGGUUCUGAAUGGAAGGGCCAUCGCUCAACGGAUAAAAGGUACUCCGGGGAUAACAGGCUGAUACCGCCCAAGAGUUCAUAUCGACGGCGGUGUUUGGCACCUCGAUGUCGGCUCAUCACAUCCUGGGGCUGAAGUAGGUCCCAAGGGUAUGGCUGUUCGCCAUUUAAAGUGGUACGCGAGCUGGGUUUAGAACGUCGUGAGACAGUUCGGUCCCUAUCUGCCGUGGGCGCUGGAGAACUGAGGGGGGCUGCUCCUAGUACGAGAGGACCGGAGUGGACGCAUCACUGGUGUUCGGGUUGUCAUGCCAAUGGCACUGCCCGGUAGCUAAAUGCGGAAGAGAUAAGUGCUGAAAGCAUCUAAGCACGAAACUUGCCCCGAGAUGAGUUCUCCCUGAGACUUAGAGUCUCCUGAAGGAACGUUGAAGACGACGACGUUGAUAGGCCGGGUGUGUAAGCGCAGCGAUGCGUUGAGCUAACCGGUACUAAUGAACCGUGAGGCUUAACCUUACAACGCCGAAG